AGAGUUUGAUUCUGGCUCAGAACGAACGCUGGCAGCGUGGAUUAGGCAUGCAAGUCGAACGAGAAGCCUUCAUUUCAAUCUUUCGGGAAAGAGAUGGCGGCGGACAGUGGCGGAAGGGUGAGUAACGCGUGGGUAACUUACCCUCAAGUCGGGUACAACCUGGCGAAAGCUGGGCUAAUACCGGAUGUGGUCUUCUGUGGCAUCACAGGAUGACUAAAGGUGGGGAUCCUUCGGGACCUGCCGCUUGAGGAGGGGCCCGCGUCCCAUCAGCUAGUUGGUAGGGUAAUGGCCUACCAAGGCUUACGGGUAGCUGGUCUGAGAGGAUGGUCAGCCACACUGGGACUGAGACACUGCCCAGACUCCUACGGGAGGCUGCAGUCGAGAAUCAUUCGCAAUGCGCGAAAGCGUGACGAUGCGACGCUGCGUGGAGGAUGACGGCCUUCGGGUUGUAAACUCCUGUCAUUUGGGAGCAACAGCUUUGCGGUUAAUACCCGCGGAGUCUGAUAGUACCAAAAGAGGAAGCCACGGCUAACUCUGUGCCAGCAGCCGCGGUAAUACAGAGGUGGCGAGCGUUGUUCGGAUUUACUGGGCGUAAAGCGUGCGUAGGUGGUUGUGUGUGUCGGGUGUGAAAUCUCUCCGCUCAACGGAGAAACUGCAUUCGAAACUGCAUGACUAGAGUACAGGAGAGGAAGGCGGAAUUCUUGGUGUAGCGGUGGAAUGCGUUGAUAUCAAGAAGAACACCGGUGGCGAAGGCGGCCUUCUGGAAUGUUACUGACACUGAUGCACGAAAGCUGGGGGAGCAAACAGGAUUAGAUACCCUGGUAGUCCCAGCCGUAAACGUUGUGCACUUGGUGUGGGGGGAUUUGACCCCCUCCGUGCCGGAGCUAACGCGUUAAGUGCACCGCCUGGGGAGUACGGCCGCAAGGCUAAAACUCAAAGAAAUUGACGGGGGCCCGCACAAGCGGAGGAGCAUGUGGCUUAAUUCGAUGCAACGCGAAGAACCUUAUCCAAGGCUUGACAUGCAGCUGCAAACUUCUGAAAGGAAGUUGCCUUCGAGGGUGCUGCACAGGUGCUGCAUGGCUGUCGUCAGUUCGUGCCGUGAGGUGUUGGGUUAAGUCCCGCAACGAACGCAACCCUUGUGUCUAGUUGCCACCGUGGGUGUUGAGCCCGCGAGCACUCUAGACAGACUGCCCGUGCAAGCGGGAGGAAGGUGAGGAUGACGUCAAGUCCGUAUGGCCUUUAUGCCUUGGGCUGCACACGUGCUACAAUGGUCGGUACAGUGGGAUGCAAGACCGCGAGGUGGAGCAAAUCCAUAAAGCCGGCCCCAGUUCGGAUUGGAGUCUGCAACUCGACUCCAUGAAGUUGGAUUCGCUAGUAAUGGCGCAUCAGCUACGGCGCCGUGAAUACGUUCCCGGGCCUUGUACACACCGCCCGUCACAUCAUGAAAGCUUUCUGCACCCGAAGUCGCUGCGCUAACCCUGAAUUUCUCGGGGGGGUAGGCGCCGAAGGUGUGGGCAGUGAUUGGGAUGAAGUCGUAACAAGGUA
RNAcentral lists this ribosomal RNA (1545 nucleotides) under metagenome. Its description in RNAcentral is "bacterial SSU rRNA". It matches the Rfam family "Bacterial small subunit ribosomal RNA". The record is from RNAcentral.